GCUCUCCCGUUUCCGGAAUCCCCGCAGGCGCUGGGUCUGCAGAUGGCGUCCAGGUACACAGUGGCGAGUGUGAUUCCGCAGUCUUGGGCUGUUUGGCCAAGCGCCCGCCGGACAUGGUACGCCGAAGGGUCAUCGGCGUGGAGUCCUCGCUUUCAGCGUCCGCGGCUGGGAAAUCGGCCAUCGCUACGGCGGGAACUGGGACUCGGGCUGCGUCCCGGCCCUUCCACAUCGGUCCACCGCACUCGUGGGCGCCCGCAUUGGUGCUGACAUAAUUUCCUGACCUCUGACCCGUAUUGUCUCGCGAUUAAAGGUCCAGAUUUGGAACAAAUCUCUCUAGAGAUUGAACAGAGCUGCGCCUGGAUCCCUCAGCAGUGAGGAGACCUGAAGACCAGAGGAAACACAGCAAGGGCUCACCAGAGAAGACAGGGCAAGGUGAGGGGGAUCUCCUAGCAGAGGAAACAACAUGCGCCAAUCAAGCAAAGAUAUUUUUGUGCAUUCAAGGAACACAGAGAGGAAAGACAGUGGCAGAUGGAGACGUAUAAAGCAGGGAUCCUGUUAUGAAAAGCCCUAAAAAAUAGGGUAUAGAGUUUGGGCCAUAUUUCAGAGGUAAUAAGAAAGCAUUCUGCAUUUUUAAAGUAAGGUUUAAAAAUGUUUCUAAUUAGAGAUACAGCAAAGUUGGUGUGAGAGGAUAAAGACUGAUAUACAUAAUCUGAGGAGUUCAUGAAAAUUCCAUGUAAAGCCUGUAGUAUGAAUUGGUCCUAGGAGACAGACAGCUUCAGGGGCAUAGAGAACUUUAAGCACUUUUCCAAGAAGAGUGAAGGGCUGGAGAAUAAAUUGUGAACUAAAAUAUAUUUUGUGUUUGAGAACAUGAAGUACUUGAGAGUGAUUAUUACACGGUUUUAAGAAAAAACUAGUUCUUUUAAAUAAAACUUUUUUUUAGCUGAGCACAGUGGCUCACGCCUGUAAUCCCAGCACUUUGGGAGGCCGAGGCAGGCGGAUCACCUGAGGUCGGGAGUUCGAGAUCAGCCUGACCAACAUGGACAAACCUCGUCUUAAUUAAAAAUAUAAAAUUAGCCGGGCAUGGUGGCACAUGCCUGUAAUCCCAGCUACUCAGGAGGCUGAGGCAGGAGAACUGCUUGAACCUGGGAGGCGGAGGUUGCGGUGAGCUGAGAUCGUGCCAUUGCACUCCAGCCUGGGCAACAAGAGCAAAACCCCUUCUCAAAAAAAAAAAAAAGGAAAAAAAAAUUUUUAGGGACAGUGUCUCAAACUGUCAGUCAUGCUGGAGUAGAGUGGUGCAAUCACAGUUUACUGUUGCCUCAAACUGCUAGGCUGAAGCGAUCCUUCCACCUCAGUCUGCUGAAUAGGGUGGGACUACAGGAAUGCACCACUGUGCCUGGCUAAUUUAUUUUAUUUUUGUCGAGACGGGGUCCGCUAUGUUGCCCAGGCUGUUCUCAAACUCCUGGCCUCAAGAAAUACUUUCCCACCUUGGCCUCCCAAAGUGCUGGAAUUACAGGUGUAGGCCACCAUGUCCAGCCAAAAACUAAUUCUAAUCCUGAUAUUCCUCCUCCUGGAAACCAUGUAGACAGAAACAAGAAAAUCAAAGUAAAUCCCAACCAUCAGGAAACAGAAAAUGAACAGAUUCCAAAUUAUUUGGAGAUGUGAAAAGAAAAUGAAAGAACAAUGUCUGUGGAAGCCACAGUGAUGCUACAAAGAAAAACAAAUGAGGAAUAUCCAUUCCCAUGGGGAGUAGACCAUAUCCUGAAUGAAAGUUUCUGUGAGCAGGAAUGAUGUCAAAAGGAGGUGGUAAAAGGAGGCCCGAAGAUGUCAGGGGGAUUCAAGGUGGCAAAACACAUUGGUUGUAUUUUUUUUUUAAAGCUUUAUUGAAAUAUAAUUCACAUACCAUACAAUUAAGCCAUUUACAGUGAACAAUUCAAUGGUUCUUAGUAUAUUCACAAAUACGUGCAACCACAGUCAAUGUUAGAAUAUUUUCAUCAUUUCGAAAAGAAACUCUAACCCUUUGGCUAUCACUCCUUGGCUUCCCCACUGCCACAUGUGCCCCAUACUUAGCCUCAAAUAAUGACUAAUCUACUUUCUGACUCUAUGGAUUUUCCUAUUCUGGACUUUCAUAUGAAUGGAAUAACAUAUGUGGACUUGUUACUGGCUUCUUUCACGUAGCAUAAGGUUCUCAAGGUUUAUCCAAAUUGUAGCAUGAAUCAGUACUUCAUUCCUUGCUAUGCCUGAAUAAUAUCUCUGCAAAUGAAUAGACCACCUUUUGUCUACCCAUUCGUCUAUUAAUGGACAUUUGGGUUGUUUCCACCUUUUGACAAUUACUAUUAUUUUUGAGAUGAAGUUUCGCUCUUGUUGCCCAGGCUGGAGUGCAAUGGCACGAUCUCGACUCACCACAACCUCCACCUCUGGGGUUCAAGUGACUCUCCUGCCUCAGCCUCCCGAGUAGCUGGGAUUACAGGCAUGUACCACUAUGCCCAGCUAAUUUUGUAUUUUUAGUAGAGACGGGGUUUCUUCAUGUUGGUCAGGCUAGUCUCAAAUUCCCGACCUCAGGUGAUCCGCCCGCCUCGGCCUCCCAAAGUGCUGGGAUUACAGGCCUGAGCUACCAUGCCCGGCUGACAAUUAUUUUUAAAAUGCUGCAAUGAACAUUCAUGUAAAAGUUUUUGUUUGAAUAUCAUCUAUUUUGUAGUUUUCAGAGUAUAAGUUUUAUUUUCUAUAUAGAAAAUCAUGCCAUCUGCAAAUAGAGAUGCUCUUAGCUGUGUUCCGUUCUUUUCUCCAGUGUCUUUUAUUUCUUUUACUUCCCCAUUUGCCCUAGCCCAAUUGCCAGUACAAUGUUAAACAGAAGUGGGGAUCCUUGUCUGGUCCCUGAUCUUAGAGGGAAGACAUCCAGUCUUUUACCAUUAAGUGUGAUGUUGGCUGUGGGUUUUUCCUAGAUAUCAGGUUGAAUUCCUCUUUAUUCCUAGUUUGUAGAAUGUGUAUGUUUUAAAAAAAAUCAUAAAGGGUAUUGGCUCUGGUCAA
Homo sapiens (human) is the source of this 3024-nucleotide long non-coding RNA. Ensembl annotates it as ZNF790 antisense RNA 1. Its record names the gene ZNF790-AS1. NCBI's taxonomy places the organism in Eukaryota, Metazoa, Chordata, Mammalia, Primates, Hominidae. The record is from Ensembl.